CCUGACUACUGGUACCAGUCUCUGAUCACCUGCUGCUGAUGUGUUGUAGGCCUUCAAGUCAAACUCAUCCAGGACCUCCUCUGACAUCAGUAACACAAAGGCCAGAGCUGAACACUGGUCUGGUUCCAGCUCGUUAUCAGAAAGUUUUCCUGAUCUCAGGGAAUUCUGGAUUUCCUCCACUAGAGAGUUGUCAUUCAGUUCACUGAGACAGUGGAACAGAUUGAUGGUCCUCUCUGCUGAAGAUUCAUAUCUGAUCCUCUCCUUAAUGUACUGGACUGUUUUCUCAAUGCUCUGUGAUCUGCUUCCUGUCUGUGUCAGUAGUCCUCCGAAGAGAAUCUGACUGGACUCCAGAGACAGGCCAAGAAGGAAUCUGAGGAAAAGGUCCAGGUGUCCAUUCUUACUCUUUAAGGCCUGAUCCACUGCAGUCCUGUGUAACUCAGACAGCUGCACUCUGUCACUGUGAGGUUCUGAUUCUUCUGCUCUGAGUACAUUUCUGUUCUCAUUUACACAUGAAUGAAACACAAAUAAGGCAGCCAGAUACUCCUGAAUGCUCAGAUGCACAAAGCAGUAGACCUUCUCCUGAUACAACCCACACUCCUCUUUAAAGAUCUCUGUGCACACCCCAGAGUACACUGAAGCUUCACUGACAUCAAUGCCACUCUCUCUCAGGUCCUCUUCAUAGAAUAUCAGAUUGCCCUUUUCCAGCUGUAGAAAAGCCAGCCGCCCCAGUUUCAGGAUGAUUUCUGUAUCUGAUGCUGACAUCUUCUUUGAGUCUGUCUCAUCAGUGCCAUGAUACUUCUGAUUCUUCACAUUAGUCUGAAUGAGCAGGAAGUGUGUGUACAUUUCAGUCAGAGUUUUGGGCAGAUCUCCACUCUCUGUUUCACCCAACAUUGUCUCCAGAACAGUAGCAGAAAUCCAGCAGAAGACUGGUAUGUGACACAUGAUGUAGAGACUCCUGGA
Molecule: long non-coding RNA, 960 nt
Organism: Anguilla rostrata (American eel)
Lineage: Eukaryota; Metazoa; Chordata; Actinopteri; Anguilliformes; Anguillidae
Exons: 2
Source: RefSeq, a predicted model, not a curated record